Molecule: ribosomal RNA, 710 nt
Filed under: Enterococcus sp. SJTU F21008
Lineage: Bacteria; Bacillati; Bacillota; Bacilli; Lactobacillales; Enterococcaceae
Description: bacterial SSU rRNA
Rfam family: Bacterial small subunit ribosomal RNA
Source: RNAcentral
CGCUUCUUUCCUCCCGAGUGCUUGCACUCAAUUGGAAAGAGGAGUGGCGGACGGGUGAGUAACACGUGGGUAACCUACCCAUCAGAGGGGGAUAACACUUGGAAACAGGUGCUAAUACCGCAUAACAGUUUAUGCCGCAUGGCAUAAGAGUGAAAGGCGCUUUCGGGUGUCGCUGAUGGAUGGACCCGCGGUGCAUUAGCUAGUUGGUGAGGUAACGGCUCACCAAGGCCACGAUGCAUAGCCGACCUGAGAGGGUGAUCGGCCACACUGGGACUGAGACACGGCCCAGACUCCUACGGGAGGCAGCAGUAGGGAAUCUUCGGCAAUGGACGAAAGUCUGACCGAGCAACGCCGCGUGAGUGAAGAAGGUUUUCGGAUCGUAAAACUCUGUUGUUAGAGAAGAACAAGGACGUUAGUAACUGAACGUCCCCUGACGGUAUCUAACCAGAAAGCCACGGCUAACUACGUGCCAGCAGCCGCGGUAAUACGUAGGUGGCAAGCGUUGUCCGGAUUUAUUGGGCGUAAAGCGAGCGCAGGCGGUUUCUUAAGUCUGAUGUGAAAGCCCCCGGCUCAACCGGGGAGGGUCAUUGGAAACUGGGAGACUUGAGUGCAGAAGAGGAGAGUGGAAUUCCAUGUGUAGCGGUGAAAUGCGUAGAUAUAUGGAGGAACACCAGUGGCGAAGGCGGCUCUCUGGUCUGUAACUGACGCUG